Molecule: long non-coding RNA, 730 nt
Organism: Oncorhynchus tshawytscha (Chinook salmon)
Lineage: Eukaryota; Metazoa; Chordata; Actinopteri; Salmoniformes; Salmonidae
Source: Ensembl
CUCUCUCUCUCUCUCUUUCUCUCUCUCUUACUCUCGUCUGACUCGCUCCCUCUCUCUCUCUUUCUCUCUCUCUCUUACUCUCAUCUGACUCGCUCCCUCUCUCUCUCUCUUACUCUCGUCUGACUCGCAUUCUCUCUCUCUCUCUCUCUCUCCCUCUUUCUCUCUCCAUAGCCAGGAGGAAAUGGAAAAGUCACAUCUUGAUUUAACGUGUGACUGCAGAGCAAAAUCCCUGUGACCGACCGAUGUUCCUGUGCUGUGAAAUACAUGUAUUCUGGGAAAUAACAUAGAAGACAGAUGUGUGUAGUCCUCGGUCUGGGAAACAUAGAUCAGAGGGGAGAAGAAGAAAUGGCUACUCUGCUGUCCCAUGCCCUGGUUUCACUGGCUUGUUGUGCUGCCUCUCUCUGUCCUCUCAGCAUGAUUAAUGCCAGGUACAAAAACCAGAGGAAAGGAACACCAAGAGACAUGGUGGAAGAUGAAGGAGUAUGAAGGAAUAUGAUUGGGUCCUGGUCUAUUGAGACUCUUCUCUGUACAGCUAAAGAACUUCUGGAUUCUGAAGUAUUUUAUGACUCCUACUGGCUGAUUCAUAAUUUGAUCUACUGAAAUUGACAAGUGGAUGUAAUGUUUGGAAAGCUUUGGAAAGCUCCAUGGUGUGCACAAUUGGAAAACUCAGUGUGUAUCUGGAAAAAAAACAGAGGCCUUGUGCUCUAAUACGACCCUCCACUGAGAAACG